This 171-nucleotide ribosomal RNA is filed under the name uncultured Gammaproteobacteria bacterium. RNAcentral's name for it is "partial 16S ribosomal RNA". Lineage: Bacteria; Pseudomonadati; Pseudomonadota; Gammaproteobacteria. The record is from RNAcentral.
UAGCCCGGUGCCCUCUUUCUGCGAGUAACGUAAAUUGCAUGAACGUAUUAAGUUCACCACCUUCCUCCUCGCUGAAAGUGCUUUACAACCCGAAGGCCUUCUUCACACACGCGGCAUGGCUGCAUCAGGCUUGCGCCCAUUGUGCAAUAUUCCCCACUGCUGCCUCCCGUA